This 12474-nucleotide long non-coding RNA is filed under the name Homo sapiens (human). RNAcentral describes it as "HSALNT0198620". The record is from RNAcentral. Lineage: Eukaryota; Metazoa; Chordata; Mammalia; Primates; Hominidae.
GCCUUGAUCACCUUUGAUGCCUUUUGCUUCAACUUUUCCAUCUGCUCCUAAAUAGAGAAAGAGCAAAUAAAGAGAUAGUUUGUGAAAGAUUCCCUUGUGAACAACUUUGGUUUUUCUAUAAUUGAGCUCACAAAUGAAACAAAGUAGUACACAGGUUCAGUAUAUGCCCAGAGUUUAAAAUUCAAUUACUCCAUCUGGGUGCGGUGGCUCACACCUGUAAUCCUAGCACCUUGGGAGACCGCGGCAGGAGGACUGCCUGAGGCCAAGAGUUCAAGACCAUCCCGGCCAACAUAGCAAUUCCCUGACUCUAAAAAAAUAAAAAUAAUAAAAAAAUAAGAAAAUAAAAUUCAAUUACUCCAGCCCAGCUCAGUGGCUUAUGCCUGUAAUCCUAGCACUUUGGGAGGCCAAGAGAGGCAGACUACUUGAGUCCAGGAAUUCAAGAUCAGGCUAGGCAACAUGGCAAAACCUCAUCUCUGCAAAAAGUACAAAAAUUAACCAGGUGCGGUGGCACACAAUUGUAGUCCCAGAUAUUCAGGAGGCUGAGGUGGGAGGAUGGCUUGAGCCCAGGAGGCUGAGGCUGCAGUGAUCCGUGAUCAAACCACUGCACUCCAGCCUGGGCAACAGAGUGAGACCCUGUCUCAAAAAAAUAAAUAAAAGUCAAUUACUCCAAUUACACACGUGUGUGCACAUGGACACACACACACACAUCCCAACACACCUUUUGACUACUGUCUACUAAAUUAGUGUCAGGGCUCACAUUAGAAAUUACAACCCUACCAUCUAAGUCUACCAUGCUGGCUAUUAAAUAAUGUCAAUCCAUGACAAAAAGCACUCUGCAGAGCAGAGACAGACAGAUUAACUGACACUCAACCCUAGUCGUGACAUCCUCUAAAAACCUCCUCCCUGGAGUGAACAUAAAAUAAAGCCUGCAUCGAGGCAUUGCCCUCUCCUGCCCAACCCCAGCCCCAACCCACCUAUCCCACCGGCAAUUCAUCAUCUACAGAAACCUUGCUGCUUCCUUGCACCCCCACCCAUACCAAAGAGCCGUCGUUGCAAGUGUGGACUCUGAGGCUAAGUGCCAGGUUUCCAUUCUGUCCCCAUAUGCACACAGGACGUCAGACGAGCUAGUGAGCCUCGUGCCUCUGUUCCCUCACCUACGGAACUGGGGUGAUAAAACUACCUAGUGUCUGGGGAUGUUGCAUUUGGUGAGUCAGUACAUGAAAAGCACAAAGUGAAGAUUACACAAGUUUGCCACUACGACUACAUCCCAACCCAUCAGGGACCAGUUCUAGUGCCACCUCCUCCAUGCAGUGCUGCCAGAUGCACCAAGUCAAAAACUCAGUCUCACUCCUCAGUGCUCAUCCACUGCAAGGUUCAAAGUUCAGCAAACUACAGCCACAGGCCAAAUUCAGCCUCCCUCCCGCAAGCAAAACAAACAUGGUUGACAUUUUUUUUGUUUUUCUGGUUUUUGUUUGUGACAGGGUCACUCACUCUGUUACCCAGGCUGGAGUGCAGUGAUGAGAUCAUGGCUCAUGGCAGCCUCAAACUCCCAGGCUCAAGUGAUCCUCCCAUCUCAGCCUCCUGAGUAGCUGGGACUACAGGCAUGUGCCACCAUGCCUGGCUAGUUUUUUUAUUUGUAUAGACAAAGUCUUACUAUGUUGCCCAGGGUGGUCUGGAACUCCUAGGUUCAAGCGAUUCUCUUACCUGGGCCUCCCAAAGUGUUGGGAUUACAGGUGUGAGGCAUGGUGCUCGGCCAUGGUUUGCAUGUUUAAAUGGUCACAAAUAAUAUUCCACAAUACAUGGAAACCAUGGGAAAUUCCCAUUUCAGUCUUCACACAUAUGGUGUCACUGGAACAGAGCCAUGCUUAUUUAUGGAGCAUCUACAGCUUCUUUUCACUACAAGGGGAAGUUGAGUAGUGGUGACAGAUCUGUGUGGAGUUGAGAAUAUUUACUACCCAGCCCUCUGCAAAGCCUGCCAAUCCCUGCAGAAUCCCCCCAUCUGGAGAGUAAGAACUGUGUUGCCUUUAUUAUAAGAUUAUAAUCAGCAUGGAGGACUUGUCCAUGGUAAUAUUGUUAAAUAGUCGACAGCUCAGAAUUAGAGCACCAUAAAUAGGAACUACUAACCUCGUUCUCCCUUCUCUCCACUCGUCCCAUCCUUCCCCGGGCUGCCAGGACAUCCUGGUUCUCCUAGGUGGAAAAGCAGAAAACAGGCAUGAGUUGAAAUUCCAUUUCUGAUUUUUCUGGCCAUUGGUCUCCAUCAGCCAUGUGUUGGAGAGUCUGGGGGUGACCCCCGCCCUGACGGGCACUCUGUCCUCCACACGAGCGCAGGUGGAGAGAGGCAGGCAUGAGCGGGCAUCUGGGGUGCUGAGCUGCGUGGGAUAAGUGACCUAAGAAAUGAACUGAGUGACUUCCCAAGCGCCCAUCUCUAGGACGUGCCUAGAGCGCACAGCAAGACAGGACGAAGAGGGAGUGUGUGCAAUGGGGACUGACUGUCACAAUUGAUUGUGUUCCUCUCCUGCGACAAGGACUUGGGACGUGGUCUGAAUGUUGGAGGUGCGAGGAGGUUUCCUCACUCUGUUUCUCUUCCAUUACUCUUGAGGAGAGUGGAAUGGAAGAUUUACUAGGCUCCUAUGAAAACACAGAUGACUAUGGUUACGUGACACUAUCCCAAGAUAGAAGAGAGAGUUCUGGAGGGAUCCCUCUAGUGCCUUACACUGGGGGAAAUGCUACUAAUCGAGCUGGCAGAGAACAUCAGGUGAGUGGGGCUCUGCUGACUACACUCAAGUCCUUGUGCUCAGAACAGGCCCCCCUGAGCUCCAGGUCGGCGUGCUAUCCGUCAGCGGGUUGAAGGUGGCUCUGGCUAUGGCAGUAGAGUGCUCAUUGGGCCACAGCUCACCCCAGACUCUGGCUUCUCACAAAGCAGCAGAGACUCCCAUACUUCAGACCCACUGACGUGGCUGUGGGGCGACAGGCGCAGGCUGGGCCGGCUUGCAGGUCCUGAGACAGGACUGACACAGGCAGACUUAUUUCUGUCACGAUGUCUGUUCUCCUGGGACACCAGCGCUCCUGAGUGGGGCCUUGGUCAGCGUGGGACCUCUGAAUGGAGGGGGCUUAUCCCUACAUUUGCCCCUCCCUGCGCUCCCCUUCCCUCCCCUCUACUGGCUGCUCCCCUGUGUCUUCCUCUCCUUCCCUCUUUUUGUUCCCCUGCUUGGCUCUCGUUUCUCCCAUUCUCUAGAGCAGUGGCCUCUGAGCUUUCAUGAUCACGCACCACAACUCACAAAGCAUGAACACAGACCCCAAUCAGUAGACAUUUAUAUGUUUCUACAUUAUGCACAGGUAGUAUAUGAAAAAUAUGUUUGGUAUAAAACAUACACAAAAAUACACUUUAAGAUGGUAAGAUAAAAAUGAAGUAAAUUUUUAGUGUGAGCAAUGUGAUUGAAUGUCCUUCUAAGAAAGAAUAUAUAUUACAAAUAAUACUUAUGAAUUACAUAGAAAAAAUAGAUAUAACAUUUGCUUCUAAGAAGUAUGUAAAACUUGAAAGAAUGGACAUUGGUGAGCAGAGGAGAGAAAUUCAACACGGAAGAGGUAGAGAAAUUUGGUAUUGAAUAUAGAAGUGUUUGUCUUAGUUCUCUGUAUUUUGUAUCACCUAUUUAUCUCCUUUUAUGUGUAAUAUUUUAUAACAAAAAUUUAAAAAAUGAAAAUCCUAAACAUUCAGAAAUAAAAUACACACAGACACAGACAUACACACACACACACACACACACACACACACCACUGUGGUCACAGUGUGAGGGCAGAAGACCUGAUUUCAUUAAGGGUAAGGUUUUAGUAUUCAUUUGGACUGGGCUAUUUGCUACCGGGGGACUGGAACAGUCUCAAUGAGCUGGAGAUGUGAGGAGCCAGGAGAAGACACCUCACAGAGCAGAUGUGCCGGUUAGAAAGAAAUAAAGUUGCUUCCUGGUGACCCUUGGCUUCAUCCAGCCCAUUCAAAAAACUAUCAGGCCACCAAAUGCCAUAAAGUGAGACAUGUUAGAAACACAAACUUAUUUGUAAAAAGGUCCAUAGAAGUUUUGAUAUUUUCUUUCUAAUGCCACUGAACUGUGCUCUUAACCCAGUGAAUCAUUCUGCAUAAGUCUUAGAUAUGUGACCCUAUGGUCAAGACCAGGCCUCAAGAAUGGUACCCCAUUCAGAAACCAAGUCUAUUGGUUGUUGUUAUGGAAAGCACUCAGACUUCCAGGCUUUGGCAAAUCUCCCUCCCAGAGGAUGGAUUCUGUCCCCAGAUCCCCAGACCCUGCCUAGGUCAUAGAUUCAUAAGCAGCAGCUGUAUGUGUCAUCUGUCACUCCGCAUCUCCUGCUUCAUGACAUGAUAUGGUAUUAGCUCUCACCUGCACUGCAGCUGGGUGCUUGCUGCCAAAUAAUUCAUGAUCAGAUCUCUCUAUUGGCCUCGUGUUGCCAAAAAUCCAACAUACCUGUCACCUGAGGUGGGAGGAUCCAUGACAUUGUAUACUACUGAAAAUGUCCUGCGGUGUCAGAGAUGAGAGAACCCAGGAGGGCAGGGGUCAUGGCGAUCUGGCCCUGUGCUCUCCACCAGCACCUGGCACAGAGUCUGGCAUGGAGCAGACCCCGUGAGUGUUGCUGGGCAGAUGGGUGGAUGGAUGAAUGGGGUCAGGCUCCAGUGAAUGUUGCUGGGUGGAUGGAUGGAUGGGUUGUGAGUGGGUAGGUGGAAAACCACACAGAUGAUGAGUGAAUGAGAUGAAAGUAAUGAAGAGAGAAGCUCAAAGGCAGCCGAAGCCGUCAGGUGAGUACCUGCAUCGCCUUUGUCACCCUUCGCUCCGUCUCGUCCAUCUCUUCCAGGCAGACCAUUGUGACCGGGGUUCCCAGGGAUUCCAGGGUGCCCUUGCCUGCAGGUGUCCUGUGAGUUUAUGUUCCCUGUGCAGAUUUCAAUGGCAAGCAGAAGCCACCAGAUCCUCAUGGUUCAGAUGACAGACUGAACUGAAAGAGGGAAACAGAAACCCAGAGGAGAAACCUUUGUUGCUGGGGCCCUGGACACAGCCUCCGUUCUGUGCAGUGGGAAAUGGAUGAGCUGUCCCCUGCCCCAGACCCACACCUGGACAGACUUGGCAGAAGACUCAGGGCAGGGGAGCAAGCUGGUUAUUACCAGGAUGACAUUGUCCUUGGAAGGUAACACUUGUGAUUGGAACCACUCUUCAAGCUGCUAGAAAUCAGCUGAGUGGUAUCUCCCGGGUUUCCAAACCUCAGAGCCUCAGCUUCCUCCUGCAUGCACUGGAAAGGAUGAACACCCUCCCAGAUCUGACGAUCUAAGAGUCCAAUAGCUCUAGGGUGCCUUCAUCGAAUAUAUUCUCUUUCAUGCACUCUCUCUAUUGUGCACUUCAUAGAUUUCUUCUUCAACAUAUAUUGAUGGUUUUCUCCUACACUGUAAAUUAGCACAGCCAUAAAUAUGAAAAUGUAUACAAGUUGAAUACGUGAACCUGAUCAAAAAAAAAAGUACACAUUAAAAUUUGUGCAAAAUAAGCUAUAAGCUUCUCUAGAAAGCUCUGUUAAAAAGGUCCAUUAUUCUCAUGACUUAUUAAUGGUUUCUCUCUCUCCUCCUAGCCAGUGGUAGUGUUCUAGCAGAAUUUCAAAACCUGCCUUUGUCUCCUCUUCAGCCUCCUCGAGAAUAAAUUUUGAAAGCGGCUUACCCCUUUCCUACCCAAAACUCUAUAGACAUCUGACUAUUCUGCAAAUUAAUAAGCAGGAUUAUCCCACAGAUAAUAUAAGUGCUGUUUUAGGACCUAGAUGCCUUAAAUUGAAUGUAAAUAAAUCUUUUCCUAAUGAACUUACCUGGACCCGAGGGCUGCAGGCUGGACCCAGAUACUGCGCAAACCAAGAAUCAAGGACCAGCUAAAUAAAAUCAGCCUUCCUGCCAUACAAUUCCCCAGUGGAUAUGUCUGCAAAAUAGCAGGAAGGGGAGGGAACAGAGGAAGGCCAAGAUGUCUUCGAAGAGCUUCAAGAAUUACGGCAACACUUAAAUCAGGUAGCAUCUUCUACCAGCACCACUUACUUUAGAAAAGUUAACUCCUUUUGAAUGAAAUGAGGGAAUACUUUCAAGGGGAGUCUGAAGGAAGGAGUGCCCCAGGCAGGUUUCUUUUUCAAAGUGAUGUUCAUGCCUUUGCUUCAGUGCUUCUCCCUGACCUUGGGGUAAUUAUGGGCAACAGGACAAAACUGAAGGCUGCUAACAGUGGCUGGGUCUCAUUUGGAUCCCAGACCAUUAGAAUUCCUAUCACUUAGAUUUUCAGAUGUGUGUGUCGUAAUGCCUUACGAGUUUAGGCAUUUGUGUAGGUAAGGAUUCAGUGCCCAUUCCCCUCUCACUCACAAUCACACACUCCAUCUAACGCGGAGAACGCGGUGCAACCAUUUGUUCUAUGCCAAUCAUGGAUUCACUUUCCUCGUGUUUAGUAGUAACAUUUAUCUAAAACUUAUGAAUAGCUUCUAGAGGACAGAGGAGCCCAGCCCGGUUUCCCCAGAUGCCGCGGUGCACCGAGCAGGAGCAGAGGCCACGCGGGAGCCGGGUGUGCGGGUGGGUACCGGCCGCGCCCCUGCUCGGAGGCGGCGACUCCCUCCCCCGCCUUACUCACACCGUGCCUCAGUUUCCCCGUCAGUGCAGCGGACAAGACAAUGCCGAGGUCCCAGGCGGGCGGCAGGAUCCAAUUAGUCCGUGUAAAAUGAGAGGCAUCUGGCUUCUCCCGGGCACCCCGCAGCCUGCCCCGCCUCUUAGUGGCUAAAGGCAGGGAGCCCCUGAGUCCCAGCGCGGCUGGGGGCUCUCAGCAGUUCUGGCCGAGCUCCCUCCCGCCCGCGUCGCCUGGCCUCGAACCGCUGCACCGCGGGCGGCCCCGACGGGUUCCCGACCUCCCGCUGGGGACACCUGUCCCGCCGCCCGGCCCUUCCCCGCCUCCCGCGCCUCCGCCCCAGGGGAGCUCCGGGACAGGCCCACCUAGGCAGCCUGCCGGCGCAGACCCAGCGAGGGAAGGCCAGUCUCGGGCCUCCAACCGGACACGCGCUCCCCAUUCCGGGCUCUCCCACGUCUGCACACUCCAGCCCAGCCACGCGGAGUGGCUUCCAGAACCUGCCCUGCGGCCCCGCUUUGCCAACACCCCACCCACCCCGUGGGCAUGAUCAUCCUCACUGCAGGACCCUGCCGGGGCCUGGGGUCCGUGGGAAGCCGGCUCAGAAGUGAGACCCUGGCCCCCUGCUUACAGGGAAAAGGGCUCCAUCCUCCGAGCGCUUCCUGACCACAGCGCCUCCAGCCUCCAGGGCUGGGCGGCCCAGGCUCAGCUGGGUUCACUCCAGCUUUGCCCCUCUCGCCCGUGCGGGGUAGGGGCGCGCUUGUUAGGUCAUCUCCCCACAACUCUCCUGGAAGAAAAUGCCACCCCCAUCUCUUUCACUCCCUCCUAUACAUGGAGCCACCAUGCUCUGCCCUGUGGGUUCUGGGGCUCGCCCCCUCCCCACCCUAGCGACCGCCCCUCCCCAGUGCAGCCCAAGGUCGGGGGGGAGCAGAUCACUUUGGGAAGCAGGUGGAUGUUAAGAAGAAACAAAAAGUGGGGAGUAACCACUUGGCAGCCUUCAUAGGAAUCCUUUUCUGAUUACAGCCACAGCAAACCACGGGCUGUUGACUUAGCGUUUCUGAGCUGCUAAUUAGAGAAGGAAAUUCUAUCUACUCACCCCCAAAGGGCAAGUGAACAGGGCCACUAGCACAGCUUUUGUGGCAGGGCCUAGCCUUUGGGGCAAUCAGAGGGCACAGUCUGUUCUCUUUGCCUCCUCUCCAUCAACCCUAGCAAAAGCCAGACCCGUCCCACUGCUCCCUUCCACAUCCCUCUGACUCCAACACUGAGUCCACUGACAUUUCUCAAGCCAAGCGGCCCUCCUAGGUUGCUCUCAGAGGCUUCCUUCUCCCACGCCUACCCAGUUAGAUGGAGCUCUUGAAUGGAUUACCACACUUUUAACCACCUCUAUAUAAGAUAACUGCUUUUUCAUCCCCAAAUAAAAGUUUUAUUGAAUCUUAAUGGUAAAAUCUACUGUUUAGGGGGAACAGCAGAUAACUCAUCAUACAUUUUGGAUGCAAUUCUUUUGACUUUUUGAAAAACUGCUUUUAAUAGGUGAACUAUGUUUUUAGUUGUAUAAGAAAUUAAGAAAAAGACUGGAAAAAAUAAAAGGAACUCUAUGAUCAGUAAUAGAGUAUUAUACCAUAUCCAAUGGUUAUAUGCUUUUCUACAAUUAUCCCAGUAACCUGAAUGUAGAGUUAUUUUAUUUAUUAUUAUUAUCAUUUUAAGAGAUGUCUCGCUAUGUUGCCCAAGUUGUAGUGCAGCUUAGAUAUUCACAGGUGCAAUCAUAGAGAAUGGAGGCCUUUAACUCCUGACCUCAAGUGAUUCUCCUGCCUCAGGCUCUCGAGUAGCUGGGACUACAGGUACAUGCCAUCACUCUCCGCCUGAUGCACAAUUAUAAAAAGGAAUUAAACACUGCUGAGUUGGAGAAAAUUGACUGUGAUAUUUUCAGUUUAGUUCAAGAAAUUUUCAUACUAUAGAACAGACUGUCAAUCAUCAAGAUUCUCUAUUUUUUAUUUUGUAUAAAAUAGGAUUGUAGCUUCAUCACAUUAUUUUCUGACACUAAUUGUUUUCUCUAUCCCUUUUAUGGCCUUAUUAAAACCAAUAUAGAAAUACAUCUCUAAGGCAACUAUCAAGAACAACAGAUUAGAUAAAGGUAUUCUGUGAAAUAACCUUUGAUUAUAGUCACAACACAUCAAGUUAAAUUUUUAAAAAUUUACAUAAUGCAAUUGUGUCACGGUUUCCAAGAAGACCCCCAGGUUUGGUGAGUCACUAGAAGGACUCACAGGGCCUACCAAAUAGUCAUACUCAGGGCUUGGAUUUAUGACAAAGGAUACAAAGCAAAAUUAGCAAAGGGAAAAAGUGUAUUUGGUAAAAUCUGGAGGAAAUCAGGCACAAACUUCCAGGAGUCUUUUCCUGUGGAGGUACCAGGAUGUACUUAAUUCCCUCAGCCUCAAAAUUUGACAACACAUGUGCAAUGUUGUCUACCAGUACCAGAAUCUCAUUAGAGACUCAGCACUCAAGUUUUUAUGGAGGCUAGUCACAUAGGCUUCUCUCUCUCAAAGGUACUCAACUUCCAGACUCCCAGAAGGAAAGCAGCUAUUCAGAGUAAACCGCAUUGUUUAUACAGUUUAGGACAGAGUGAACCACUCUUCUCAGUUAGGAAAUAGUGGGGACUCUCCCAAUUCCAAGGUCCCAAAUGCCAGGCAGAGGCCAGCCAUGCAAGCAGGCCUUUCUAAGGAUGACAGUCUCAUGCCCGCUUUAUGAAAUCUCUUCUGCACAGCAGUUAUAGUCCCUACUUAAUUUUUGUGGUUGUCUUUAUAUUUUAUUUUAAAUGCAAACAAUAUAAUGAUAUAACACAGUACUGGUUUCAGUUGUUUGAUCCAUCUCAACUUGCAAGACUGGCUACCUUUUUGGCUUUUGUUGAAUAACAGGUAGUUGUAUGUAAGAUACUAUGGCAAUAUUAGGUAAUUAUAAUUUUUCCUCAUCUGAUUAAACUUUCAAUAAAAUUGUUAGAUAAAAUAAGCAUCAUAAUUUCUAAUUUAAAAUUAAAAUUGUCUUAAAUGGAUGGUCCAGUUUCAAUUCAUAUUGUGUCAAAUUUCUAUUUUUAAUUGCAAAAUAAGAAAAUAUUUAAUCAUUUUUAUCAAUUAUUUUCUUGGCUAAAUAUUCAAUUUAAAUUAUUUGCUUCACAUAUUUUUGUAUACUUCAAAUUUGGGAGAUAAUGCCCAUAUUCUGUUACUUUGACUUUUCAUGAUCUCCAGUGUUCAAGGUGUCAAUAUUAGUCUGCUUUUCAUUACCAUAAAAAAAAACCCUGAGGCUUAGUAAUUCAAAAAGAGACUUAUUUGGCUCACUACUCUGAAGCCUGUACAAGCAAGGCACCAGCAUCUGCCCAGCUUCUGGUGAGGCCUCAGGAAGCUUUAUUCAUGGCAGAAGGUGCAGGGGGAGCAGGUGCCUCACAUGGCAAGAGAGUAAGAGAGAAGAGAGCAAGAGAGAGCUGCCAGGUUCUUUCAAAAAACCAGUUGGCAUGAACUACUGACUACUCCAGGGAGGGCACCAGGCCAUUCAUAAGGGUUCAGCCCCCAUGACCAAAACAACUCCCAUUAGGCUCCACCUCCAAUACCAGGGAUCAUAUUUCAACAUGAGAUGUGGAGGAGACAAACAUCCAAACUGUAUCAGAGACUAUAUCUUACUAUAACAUAUGGCAAUGGCAUAAAUGUGUAUUGCUAUAUCUUGUAAUACUUUUUCUUCAGUAGCUUUUCAUACGUUUUAGUUAAUAUAAUUUUAUUUUUAUUAAUGUCAAUUUAACUUAAAUCUGAAAAUAUUUCGAUUUCAAAUUACAUGUUGUUAUGACCACUCAACUUUUAAAAGGCAUCUACUUUUUAUUAAGUAACAAUCUGGGACAAAUAGAGUGAAUUUUACCAAAACCAUAUUUGAUUUAUUUUUCCCACUGGUAUACAUAAUUUACUAUUAUUACAUAUAAUUUGCUUAUAAUUUUUAUUUGAAGGCUCACUGACCAUCAUUUGGAUAGAGCUUUGUCCAGCAAUGAUAAGUGUAGUUAUCUGUGACCUUUUAGUCUGGCAUUGGAUCCUCAUUUUCAGACAAAUGAGGGGAGGUGGGAUUCACAUAUAGUAGAAAUGCCAUAAGUAGGAGAGAGACUCAUAGCAGCUGAGGUCAGGAGGUUACCUACAGGGCCUUAAAAGCCAUUGGAAUUUUUCUUUUAUUCUGAGACAGGAAUCUAUUGGAAAGAUUUGGACAGGCAAGUGAAUAACUGAGGACCCCUGAGGUUGAUUUGAGCUCCUAAUAAAAAAAGAGGAAAAAGAGGGAAACGUUCCUCAGUGUAGAAUUGACCACUGCCAGCCUCACUCACAUAUCCACUGCUUUCUUGAGACUUCAGCAGGUUGUUAAGCAUCGCCGAAUUAUCAGCAGAUGACUGAAUGGUGGGCUAAAACUGUCGUCUAGUAACAGAAUAUCUAUUUGGCAGGAAGAUAACACCUGCUGUGUCCUUAACUGGAUUCAGUAAUAAAUAGGAAUAUGUACACAUGAGGAAAAGAAGGUGAAUUGUGUAUGAGGUGAUAUUUUUCCAAGUGUAUGUUAGAGUUAGAUAUUAUUGAAAAUUUAAUAAUAAGGUGAUUUACAAAAUCAGUAACAAAAAUACUUUAUCAGGUGUGUGAGACAACUUCAACAAGAAGUCGCUGUAACCCUAAAAAAACCAUCUAUGUCGGGCUGGGCACGGUGGCUCACGCCUGUAAUCACAGCACUUUGGGAGGCCAAGGUAGGCAGAUUACGAGGUCAAGAGAUUGAGACCAUCCUGGCCAACAUGGUGAAACCCCCGUCUCUACCAAAAAUAAAAAAAAAUUAGCCUGGCGUUGUGGCGUACGCCUGUAGUCCCAGCUACUCGGGAGGCUGAGGUAGGAGAAUCACGUGAACUCGGGAGACAGAGGUUUGCAGCGAGCCGAGAUCAUGCCGCUGCACUCCAGCCUGGCGACAGAGUGAGACUCCAUCUAAAAAAAAUAAAAUUAAAAAAAAAAACCAUCUAUGUCAGAGACUUCCCUAGAGGUUACAUUAUGUGACCACAUUAAUUUAGAAAAAGGGACACAGGAGUUAUUUCAAAUCAGAAGUCAGAUAUGUGUGAAAUUUAACAUGUCAACAGUUAAUCUGUAGCUGGUUAAACAAUAUAAAGUGUUUUAAGAUACUAAUUUCAGAAGACAGCUUUCUUUUGUAUCUUCAUUAUAACUGAUUUUAUUAAAAUUUUAGUAUCUUUAUAGUGACUUUCAUUAUGCCUUUUUUCUUAUAAUUACAUACAUUUUUUUCUUAUAAUACCCCUAGAAAAGUUAAGAAUUAUGUAUCAUUCCUCACAAAAGUUGAGUGACUUUUUUUCCUGUUAAACAGUAUGUUUAAGUGACUUCUUUAUUGCCAGCAUAAGGCAAGCCAGAUUAAAUCAGAGGAGAAUGUUUCAUGGAAUGUUCCAGAAAUUAUCUUAUUUUUAUCUUCACUUUUGUGAAUAGAUAUAGAAUCUGUGCCUGUUUAUUUCACGGAUUUCAGGUUAACCAUUACAGAAAGGCCAUGAUACUGUUCUUCAAAAUGCAAAUGUUUUAUGUUAAUUUACAAACUGUUUGAAAAGUUGGACAUUUCCUUUAUUUUAAAAAAUUUAAAAUUGUAAAAGCAUAUUAAUAUUUAGAUUAUGUAUUGUGUAUACAUUCAAAACAGAGAAUUAAGAAACUUACCUGAGGCUAGGAGUGGAGGUGGGAGCCUAUAGUCUCAGCAACUGAAGAGGCUGAGGUAGCAGGAUGACCUGAGCUCAGGGGGUUGAGGCUGCAGUGAGCCACAGUUGUGCCACUUUAUUCCAGCCUGAGUGACAGAGUGAGAUCCUGUCUCA